This 252-nucleotide ribosomal RNA is filed under the name uncultured bacterium. RNAcentral's name for it is "partial 16S ribosomal RNA". It matches the Rfam family "Bacterial small subunit ribosomal RNA", at positions 524 to 776 of the family's 1533-position model. The record is from RNAcentral.
UACGUAGGGGGCUAGCGUUGUCCGGAAUCAUUGGGCGUAAAGCGCGUGUAGGCGGUCCGGUAAGUCCGCUGUGAAAGUCGAGGGCUCAACCCUCGAAUGCCGGUGGAUACUGUCGGGCUUGAGUACGGGAGAGGCGAGUGGAAUUCCUGGUGUAGCGGUGAAAUGCGCAGAUAUCAGGAGGAACACCGAUUGCGAAGGCAGCUCGCUGGAACGUUACUGACGCUGAGACGCGAAGCGUGGGGAGCAAACAGG